AAUAAGUUCAUUUUUCAGCUUUUAGAUACAAUAUUUUCACUCUCCAUCUUAUUUGAAAUUUUUUUUUGUGAUUACUAUUUUUAUUGUUACUAGAUGAUAAAAUAUGGAUAGUAUUUUAUACGUGACUAAUUUUUUUAAAGUUUUUAUAUAUUUUUUUAAAUAAGACGAAUGAUUAAAGCAUUUGACAAAAAAAAUCA
RNAcentral lists this microRNA precursor (197 nucleotides) under Oryza brachyantha (malo sina). Its description in RNAcentral is "MIR812 microRNA precursor family". It matches the Rfam family "MIR812 microRNA precursor family". Lineage: Eukaryota; Viridiplantae; Streptophyta; Magnoliopsida; Poales; Poaceae. The record is from Rfam by way of RNAcentral.